This 504-nucleotide ribosomal RNA is filed under the name uncultured bacterium. RNAcentral's name for it is "bacterial SSU rRNA". It matches the Rfam family "Bacterial small subunit ribosomal RNA", at positions 791 to 1304 of the family's 1533-position model. The record is from RNAcentral.
UAGUCCACGCCGUAAACGAUGUCAACUAGCUGUUGGAAAACUAUGUUUUUCAGUGGCGCAGCUAACGUAGUAAGUUGACCGCCUGGGGAGUACGGCCGCAAGGCUAAAACUCAAAGGAAUUGACGGGGACCCGCACAAGCGGUGGAGUAUGUGGUUUAAUUCGAUGCAACGCGAAAAACCUUACCAAGGUUUGAAAUCAUUUCAAAACUCUUUGAAAGAAGAGCCUCCUUCGGGAUGGAAUGACAGGUGGUGCAUGGCUGUCGUCAGCUCGUGUUGUGAAAUGUCAAGUUAAGUCUUGUAACGAGCGCAACCCAUGUCUUUUGUUGCUGUUUACAGUGCUUAAAAGAGACUGCCGCUCUACAGCGGAGGAAGGUGUGGAUGAUGUCAAGUCAGCAUGCCCCUUAUAUCUUGGGCUACACACGUACUACAAUGGUAGGGACAAUGGGUCGCAAACCUGCGAAGGCUAGCCAAUCUCAAAAACCCUAUCUCAGUUCGGAUUGUACU